Molecule: long non-coding RNA, 1523 nt
Filed under: Anas platyrhynchos platyrhynchos (common mallard)
Lineage: Eukaryota; Metazoa; Chordata; Aves; Anseriformes; Anatidae
Description: lncRNA (ENSAPLG00000031172.1)
Source: RNAcentral
UCAGUGACGGGCAGCGAGGACGCCUGCGUGCAUUUCUUCGACGUGGGGCGCUCGGCCCGGGCCACGGUCAACACCCUGCAGGGCCACGGCGGCGCCGUGCUGGCCGUGGCCUUCAACUGCGACGAGAGCCUGCUGGCCUCCAGCGACGCCACCGGCACCGUCAUCGUCUGGCGCCGCCAGCACGCCUGAAACCCCCCCGCGGUCCCCCCCCCCCCCCCCCCUCCCCGGCAAGGCACGGACCCCCCAGCUGCGUUCAACAAGCCUUGUUUUGCACCCCCGCUGUGGGUUUUGGGUCAGAAAAGGUACUUGCGGCACGCGGCGGCCCCGCACUUGCACUCGAUGCGGCCCCGGGAGCGGGGGGAGCCCCCCAGGCCCCCCCCCGCCAGCCCGAAGUUGGAGUCCAUGCGGGUGCUCUCGGCGUCCACCGGGUCCACUGCGGGGAGAGGGGGGGGUGAGGGGGUGGCCUGCGGGCUUGUGGGGCACGCUGUGGGGUGCUACAGGUCAGGGUGUGGGGUGCCGUGGGGCACUGUGGGGGUGCUAUGGGUCACGCCGUGGGGUGCUGUGGGGCGCAGUGGGGUGCUAUGGGGUGCUAUGGGUCACGCAGUGGGGCGCAGUGGGGCGCUAUGGGUCACGCCGUGGGGCGCCGUGGGGCACAGUGGGGUGCUAUGGGUCACGCCGUGGGGUGCUGUGGGGCACAGUGGGGUGCUAUGGGUCACGCCGUGGGGCGCAGUGGGGCCGUACCGUGCAUGUUGUAGUCGAAGGUGAGCUCCUCGCCGGCGCGGAUGGGGCGCGUGGCGAACAGGGCGAUGCGCGGCAGGCGCUCGUCCAGGUUCUCGAUGAAGACGUUGUACACCUGCAGGUUGGGGUCGCACUGGGGGGGGAGAGGGCGGGGUCAGACGGGGACACGCCCCCUGCCCCGCCUACUGCAUGUGAUUGACAGCUGGGGAGCCCCGCCCACUGACUCGGAGGUGAAAGGGGGGGGAAUGGGUCAUUUGUGAGUGGGGCCUUAAUUAGGGGGUGAUUAGUGAACAGCCAGGGGUAAUUAGCCAUUAGCCUAGAGUAAUUAGCAAUUGGUCAGGGGCAAUUAGCUAUCAGCCCAGGCCAAUUAGCCCUUGGCCAGGGUAAUUAGCAAUUACUCAGGGGCAAUUAGCGAUCGGCCCAGGGGCAAUUUCAGCUGUCAGCUGGGGGCAGUUAGCCAUUAGCAGGGGGCCACCAGUGGGGCAAUUAGCCCCGGCGGGGGGCAGUUAGCCAUUAGCGGGGUUCGUUAGCUGUCGGGGGGGGGGGUUAAUUAGCGUCUCGUUACGCACGCUGUGGUUAACGAAGUGGGAGAUAUUGCCGUAGUGCGCGGCGUCCACGGUGUAGACGUCCUCCACAUAGUCCAGGUCGAAGAGGUACGUGGCGCCCUGCCGGUCGUACACCUGCCCCCGCCGCUCCGCCUCCUCCGACGUGAUGAUCUGGGGGGGAUCCGCGUCAGCACGGCCCCCCCUGGGGUCCCCCAAACCCCCCUGGGGUCUCUCUGGGGC